This is a long non-coding RNA of Bubalus bubalis (water buffalo), 576 nucleotides long. RefSeq lists it as uncharacterized. The transcript is spliced from 2 exons. Lineage: Eukaryota; Metazoa; Chordata; Mammalia; Artiodactyla; Bovidae. The record is from RefSeq and is a predicted model, not a curated record.
UAAAUAUAAUAGGAGCUAUUUUUAUUAACAAUAAUUUCAAAGUAGAAUCAGACUUUUCAAAGGGAAAAGAUCCUCUUAGUGAAGAAACAAGAUUUACUACCAGAAUAAGUAGUUAAUUCAGACUAGUUUGGAUUCUGUGACUCUGUUUAGUGUCUGACCGUUCCCACCCUGAAUAUGAUUUGUAGCCAGCAGUCCUUGAAUUGUGGUGUAGUAGAUUUUGCCAUCUCCAAUGUCAUGGUCUGGGUGAACUGCUAUGGAGUGAAGUACACACGUCUUGGACUGUGGAAGUGUGAUGUGAUCACUGAAGAGUGUUUGGUGCUUUCCUGUUUACAGUGCAAAUGUACAAGCCAGAGACCUAGGAAGCCCUAGGAAAUGGAGAGCACUCAAGAUGGAAGGAGUCUGAGUCCCUGAGGACCACAUGGAAGAAAGCUGGCCGUUAACCAGGAAUACUUCCUUUGGACAAUUAUAUGAAUGGAAAAUGAACUUUUGUGUUAAUCUAAUGAAAUUUGGUGGUUUAUUUUUAGAGACACUAGAAAACCAGCAUUGCCUUUGGUAAUAAAAAUCUUUUAUAUGUUU